GCCAGAGCUCUUCCUCCUCUGUGGACCCUGCAGCACUGAGGAGAACAGGAGCUCUCUUCUCUAAGGGUGAUGAAGAGCAGUUUCUGACGUGGAUAUAGCUGGAGGAACACAGAGACGAGCGAUGAGGUCCAUGUGAAGGGGCUGCCAGAGACCACGGGAUUAGGAUUGAGGAAGGAGAAUCUCGGCAGGACCAGAGUCUUAGAAACCCAGGAAGAUGACCUCUCUCAGGCCAAGGAGGCUGCUGACUGGUGGGUUUUCAUCUACAGAGAGUGUUGGUGUUGGCAGGAAAGGUGGGCUGGAGCCUUGAAUUAGAGGGUGUGACAUGAACAGCACAUGAGAAAAUUGAAAGAGGGAAAGUAAGUCCUCCCACAGAAAUGAAUAGGCGGA
This 387-nucleotide long non-coding RNA is filed under the name Homo sapiens (human). Its description in RNAcentral is "HSALNT0275678". Lineage: Eukaryota; Metazoa; Chordata; Mammalia; Primates; Hominidae. The record is from RNAcentral.